GAUGAACGCUGGCGGCGUGCCUAAUACAUGCAAGUCGAACGGGGAGUAGCAAUACUCUUAGUGGCGAACGGGUGAGUAACGCGUUGGUACCUGCCCCGAAGCGGGGGAUAACGGACCGAAAGGUCCGCUAAUACCCCAUGUGCUCGGUAACGAGUAAAGGUGAAAACCACUUUGGGAGGGGCCUGCGUCCCAUCAGCUAGUUGGUAAGGUAACGGCUUACCAAGGCGAUGACGGGUAGGGGACCUGAGAGGGUGGCCCCCCACAAUGGAACUGAAACACGGUCCAUACACCUACGAGUGGCAGCAGUAGGGAAUAUUGGUGAUGGGCGCAAGCCUGAACCAGCAGCGCCGCGUGUGCGAUGACGGCCUUCGGGUUGUAAAGCACUUUUGACUGGGACGAGGAAGGACGGUACCGGUCGAAUCAGCCUCGGCUAACUACGU
This 440-nucleotide ribosomal RNA is filed under the name uncultured bacterium. RNAcentral's name for it is "partial 16S ribosomal RNA". It matches the Rfam family "Bacterial small subunit ribosomal RNA", at positions 28 to 506 of the family's 1533-position model. The record is from RNAcentral.